GUUUAAAAUAUAAUUCAUAUCACCUGUUCCCUCCAAUUCAAACCCCAAAUUUUGGAUUCCCUCCCAUUGUCCUCCCUCAAAUUAUUAAAUUCCCUCUAAUUCCAGUUUUAAUUUAGUUUCACCAUACUAAUACCCUUGUUGAUACUCUCAAUUUUCCAUUCUUCCUUUUAUCCCCGUCCCUAAAUCACUCUUUUACUCUUUCUAAUCUUCCCUAUUUAGCCCGAUGCAGUUGCCGGAACUUUCAUGGGAACAAGACGGGGGUGAAACUCCUUAUGGAGGAAAACUAUCCCUUCAUCUACACCACUAACCGAUUGGGAGUUUCCGGUGACCCACAAAAAUGGUAAACAAUCUUAGCCACCAGUGGGUUUCAAGUUUAGUCAAAUCAGAGGUGAAGUGUUUCUUUGUGCGAAAGCAUUUAUGGACGUAAGAGAGGAUGUUUAGACCAAUUGUGAUGAGAAGCGGUUGAUGAGGAAGCAAUCACAUGACCAAUUGAAUUGCAUUCGCUAGAUACAUCAAUCUCACACAAGAUUGGAUAGAUAAUCAUUAUCGAGUAUGGGUUCUUUCAAAACGAAGGAGGUUAUGGAAACUGGGCACUUUUAAAACCAUUCAUCUAGAUGGCUGCGCUUGAUUUCUAGGUUUGUUAGAAAGUGACAAAGUUUGGUAUUAAUGUGUUAUUGAUGGUGAUAUUCUAAUGUAUUAGUACUUGCGCCACGGUUGAAGGAUCAAAUGGCAGAGUUGAAACAAGAUGAAGCAUGAUAUGAAGGAGAAAUUUGUAUCUUUAUAUUGUUAGGUUUCAAUAAGUUUGAUAUUCUUUUUCCUAUUUCGUUUGUAUAUUCAUCUUCGGUGUGAUUUGUAUAUAUGUAUUUAAAAUUUAAACUGA
Molecule: long non-coding RNA, 880 nt
Organism: Helianthus annuus (common sunflower)
Lineage: Eukaryota; Viridiplantae; Streptophyta; Magnoliopsida; Asterales; Asteraceae
Exons: 3
Source: RefSeq, a predicted model, not a curated record